AAGUGUGCAAAUUAAACUUUUAACAUCUACGUGUAGGAAUCCCGUUCUGCUUCCAGAAGUGGAAGUGCUCACGGAUCGGGGAAAUCUGCAAGGCAUACCCCUGCAAGGUCUCGCUCCAAGGAAGAUUCCAGGCGUUCCAGAUCAAAGUCCAGGUCCCGAUCUGAAUCUAGGUCUAGAUCCAGAAGAAGCUCCCGAAGGCAUUAUACCCGGUCACGGUCUCGUUCCCGCUCCCAUAGACGAUCACGUAGCAGGUCUUACAGUCGAGAUUAUCGUAGACGGCACAGCCACAGCCAUUCUCCCAUGUCUACUCGCAGGCGUCAUGUUGGGAAUCGGGUAAGAUGAAAAACUGGUUUUGAAGCAGUGAACUGCCUAAAUUUACUUUUUCUUAAAGUUAGAGCUGAUUUCGACAAUAGAGCUUUAGCAGUGGGUGCGUGAGUGAAAUCUUCAGAGGCUUUUUUAGUGUUUUGAGAGAGUCUUUUAAGUUAAUCUUCCAUGACGGGGUCUGCAUUUGGGCUGCCUGUCAAUUAAGCAUAAUACUGACACAAUGGUGUAACUCCUUAGCCCAUC
This 567-nucleotide small RNA is filed under the name Pan troglodytes (chimpanzee). RNAcentral describes it as "retained intron". The record is from RNAcentral. Lineage: Eukaryota; Metazoa; Chordata; Mammalia; Primates; Hominidae.